AAAUAGGAUUCCCUUAGUAAUGGCGAACGAAGGGGGAACAGCUUGGGUUGGAAACUAAGGCUUCGGUCUUGGGUUGUGACCUGCAGACACAGCACCAACAGCGGCGCAAGCGUAAGCCUCUUGGAAAAGAGCAUUCACUCGGGUGAGAAUCCUGUGCGUCGCUUGACGUCCGCUGCGUACGGUGCGUGCUCUUAAAGUCACGCUCCUUGGAAUUGGAGCGUAAAUUAGGUGGUAAAUUUCAUCUACAGCGAAAUAUAAGCUCGAGACCGAUAGCAAACAAGUACCAUGAGGGAAAGAUGAAAAGGACUUUGGAAAGAGAGUUAAAAGUGCUUGAAAUCGCUGAAGGGGAAGCGAAUGGAACCAAGACCCUGGCUGAGACUGCUGCGAGUUUUCACUAGCCUUGUGUGUGAAUGCGUAAGCUUUUCGCACAUACGUGAAGGAAUGCUCGCGGUGUUUCUCAGCUUGCUCGUCAGCUGCAACGCUCGCUUGAGGAUGGCCCUUGUCGCGCGCGGCUCUUCUGCGGAAUUGCUUCGGCGCCUCUGGGGAUUCAGGCGAGCGUGUCUUGCUGAUUAAAUGGUUCUCUUCGACCCGUCUUGAAACACGGACCAAGGAGUCUAGCACAUGUGCAAGUUCUCGGGCGACAAGCCAGUGAGCAUAAUGAAGGUGACUGCUGGGAUGCUUUGCGCUAGCAACCGACUAAUCAAUUGGGAGAAGUUUGAGUCAGAGCGUGUGUGUUAGGACCCGAAAGAUGGUG
Molecule: ribosomal RNA, 754 nt
Filed under: Effrenium voratum
Lineage: Eukaryota; Dinophyceae; Suessiales; Symbiodiniaceae
Description: 28S ribosomal RNA
Rfam family: Eukaryotic large subunit ribosomal RNA
Source: RNAcentral